This 732-nucleotide ribosomal RNA is filed under the name Curtobacterium sp. 87Op1a. RNAcentral describes it as "bacterial SSU rRNA". It matches the Rfam family "Bacterial small subunit ribosomal RNA", at positions 99 to 842 of the family's 1533-position model. Lineage: Bacteria; Bacillati; Actinomycetota; Actinomycetes; Micrococcales; Microbacteriaceae. The record is from RNAcentral.
CGAACGGGUGAGUAACACGUGAGUAACCUGCCCCUGACUCUGGGAUAAGCGUUGGAAACGACGUCUAAUACUGGAUAUGAUCACUGGCCGCAUGGUCUGGUGGUGGAAAGAUUUUUUGGUUGGGGAUGGACUCGCGGCCUAUCAGCUUGUUGGUGAGGUAAUGGCUCACCAAGGCGACGACGGGUAGCCGGCCUGAGAGGGUGACCGGCCACACUGGGACUGAGACACGGCCCAGACUCCUACGGGAGGCAGCAGUGGGGAAUAUUGCACAAUGGGCGAAAGCCUGAUGCAGCAACGCCGCGUGAGGGAUGACGGCCUUCGGGUUGUAAACCUCUUUUAGUAGGGAAGAAGCGAAAGUGACGGUACCUGCAGAAAAAGCACCGGCUAACUACGUGCCAGCAGCCGCGGUAAUACGUAGGGUGCAAGCGUUGUCCGGAAUUAUUGGGCGUAAAGAGCUCGUAGGCGGUUUGUCGCGUCUGCUGUGAAAUCCCGAGGCUCAACCUCGGGCUUGCAGUGGGUACGGGCAGACUAGAGUGCGGUAGGGGAGAUUGGAAUUCCUGGUGUAGCGGUGGAAUGCGCAGAUAUCAGGAGGAACACCGAUGGCGAAGGCAGAUCUCUGGGCCGUAACUGACGCUGAGGAGCGAAAGCAUGGGGAGCGAACAGGAUUAGAUACCCUGGUAGUCCAUGCCGUAAACGUUGGGCGCUAGAUGUAGGGACCUUUCCACGGUUUCU